GCACAAUAAUUUGCCCUUUAAUUGUGGGCUGGAAUGAAGGGAUUUUCGAGACCAGUGCUUUAUUACCUAUAGAAAGAAAAUUAAUAUAUAAGUGAAGAAGCUUGUGUAAAAGUGAAGGACAAGAAGACCCUAGGAGCUUUACCUAACAGAGGGGUUGAACCCCUAUAAAGGUUUGGUUGGGGCAACCGUAACCCAUAGAAGCGCUUUCUAUUAAUAAAGAAAAGGCUUCCGGCCAUUCAAAAGACCCUUAAAGGUCGUAGAAGAUAGCUACCCUAGGGAUAACAGGCUAAUUUCUUUUGAGAGGCCGUAUUGACGAAGAAAGUUUGGCACCUCGAUGUUGGCUUAGGGUCCCCAGUGAGAGCAGCAUCUUACAAUGGUAGGUUUGUUCACCCUUUAAAACCC
RNAcentral lists this ribosomal RNA (402 nucleotides) under Sabellidae sp. 159-Ifr-0501. RNAcentral describes it as "partial 16S ribosomal RNA". It matches the Rfam family "Bacterial large subunit ribosomal RNA", at positions 1959 to 2596 of the family's 2925-position model. Lineage: Eukaryota; Metazoa; Annelida; Polychaeta; Sabellida; Sabellidae. The record is from RNAcentral.